CCCUUAGAUGUCCUGGGCCGCACGCGUGCUACACUGACACUUACACCGAGUUUUUCCAAUGCCGAAAGGCCAUUGGUAAUCAGCAAUAAGUGUCGUGAUGGGGAUAGAUCUUUGGAAUUAUUGAUCUUGAACGAGGAAUGCCUAGUAAUCGUAGGUCAUCAGCCUGCGAUGAUUACGUCCCUGCCCUUUGUACACACCGCCCGUCGCUCCUACCGAUUGAAUGGUCCGGUGAAAUCUCGGGACGGCGGCUUGGUCGCUUGCGUCCGACUGCUGAAACUUGAUUAAACCAUAUCAUUUAGAGGAAGGUGAAGUCGUAACA
Molecule: ribosomal RNA, 319 nt
Filed under: uncultured eukaryote
Lineage: Eukaryota
Description: partial 18S ribosomal RNA
Rfam family: Eukaryotic small subunit ribosomal RNA
Source: RNAcentral